AGUGAACGCUGGCGGUAGGCCUAACACAUGCAAGUCGAACGGCAGCACAGUAAGAGCUUGCUCUUACGGGUGGCGAGUGGCGGACGGGUGAGGAAUACAUCGGAAUCUACUUUUUCGUGGGGGAUAACGUAGGGAAACUUACGCUAAUACCGCAUACGACCUACGGGUGAAAGCAGGGGAUCUUCGGACCUUGCGCGAUUGAAUGAGCCGAUGUCGGAUUAGCUAGUUGGCGGGGUAAAGGCCCACCAAGGCGACGAUCCGUUGCUGGUCUGAGAGGAUGAUCAGCCACCUGGGAACUGGGACACGGUCCAGACUCCUACGGGAGGCAGCAGUGGGGAAUAUUGGACAAUGGGCGCAAGCCUGAUCCAGCCAUACCGCGUGGGUGAAGAAGGCCUUCGGGUUGUAAAGCCCUUUUGUUGGGAAAGAAAAGCAGCAGGUUAAUACCCCGCUGUUCUGACGGUACCCAAAGAAUAAGCACCGGCUAACUUCGUG
This 492-nucleotide ribosomal RNA is filed under the name uncultured bacterium. RNAcentral's name for it is "partial 16S ribosomal RNA". It matches the Rfam family "Bacterial small subunit ribosomal RNA", at positions 29 to 507 of the family's 1533-position model. The record is from RNAcentral.